Molecule: long non-coding RNA, 843 nt
Organism: Hylaeus volcanicus
Lineage: Eukaryota; Metazoa; Arthropoda; Insecta; Hymenoptera; Colletidae
Exons: 3
Source: RefSeq, a predicted model, not a curated record
GUUGGAUGGUGUUCCGCGAUGAUGAUUCGAGUCGCAUGAUGAUCAUUUCGACACUGUGAAACCUUGUACAUAUUGCUGUGCGGGGUGCAGAUGUGCAACAACCUAAUACCAACACUUAAAUCGUUCAAUCUCUGAGUUAUCUGGAAGCACUGCAGCAGCGAAACGUCGAGAGCCACCGCUAAUGACUCCGACAAAGGUGUAAUUUCUGCCCGGCGGAAAAAAAAUCCAUAUUUCUUCGAUGACGAAGACAUCACUUGGCCGAAAGGAAGGACAGAAAACAUUUCCACCCUCCUAGAGUGUACUCACGGAGAAAUGGUACGAGCAUUCCAUCUUGAGCUAAAACCGUGCUGCACGUCAGAGCGUUGCGCGUCUGUAUGUGUGGGUGAGGGCUAUAGGGUGGCAGGGUGUUUGGAAGACGAAGAGGACCACGGAGUUUCGGAACACCGCAUCACUCUGCUCUGUUGCCAACCCAGGAAAGGGAAACAAUAUAUUACCUCCCUUAUGAAGCCUAUGCAUCAAGUUCUAAGAAGACACCCUCCAGCAUUCAGCUGCAACUAAAACAGUUCCAGUUCGUUAACAAAUCAAGCACCCACGAAACAAAAGGAACAGAAAUCGCUUUCGCAGAAAACGUCAGAAAAUCGACCGACACAUCACGGUUAAUCAAAGGCCGGCACGAGGCGUUAAUAAGUGCAGCCCUCGGCUGGCAGCACGCGUUAUCAAGGCGCGAACCGUUUAUUAAUAACGAAGAAAAGCUAUCUGGAACGCCCCUCGCCAGCGUGUAACUCGAAAUUCCGCUCGCAACUUCGUUUCUUGCACGUGUGUGCGUCAGGGUUAUAUCCGUCG